ACGAACGCUGGCGGCAGGCCUAACACCUGCAAGUCGCGCGCCCUUUCGGGGGAGCGGCGGACGGGUGAGUAACGCGUGGGAAUAUGCCCUUCUCUACGGAAUAGCCUCGGGAAACUGAGAGUAAUACCGUAUACGCCCUAUGGGGGAAAGAUUUAUCGGGGAAGGAUUAGCCCGCGUUGGAUUAGGUAGUUGGUGGGGUAAUGGCCUACCAAGCCGACGAUCCAUAGCUGGUUUGAGAGGAUGAUCAGCCACACUGGGACUGAGACACGGCCCAGACUCCUACGGGAGGCAGCAGUGGGGAAUCUUAGACAAUGGGGGCAACCCUGAUCGAGCCAUGCCGCGUGAGUGAUGAAGGCCUUAGGGUUGUAAAGCUCUUUCAGCUGGGAAGAUAAUGACGGUACCAGCAGAAGAAGCCCCGGCUAACUCCGUG
This 430-nucleotide ribosomal RNA is filed under the name uncultured bacterium. Its description in RNAcentral is "partial 16S ribosomal RNA". It matches the Rfam family "Bacterial small subunit ribosomal RNA", at positions 29 to 507 of the family's 1533-position model. The record is from RNAcentral.